CGCGGCCUAUCAGCUUGUUGGUGGGGUAAUGGCCUACCAAGGCGACGACGGGUAGCCGGCCUGAGAGGGUGACCGGCCACACUGGGACUGAGAUACGGCCCAGACUCCUACGGGAGGCAGCAGUGGGGAAUAUUGCACAAUGGGCGCAAGCCUGAUGCAGCGACGCCGCGUGAGGGAUGACGGCCUUCGGGUUGUAAACCUCUUUCAGCACAGACGAAGCGCAAGUGACGGUAUGUGCAGAAGAAGGACCGGCCAACUACGUGCCAGCAGCCGCGGUAAUACGUAGGGUCCGAGCGUUGUCCGGAAUUACUGGGCGUAAAGAGCUCGUAGGUGGUUUGUCGCGUUGUUCGUGAAAACUCACAGCUUAACUGUGGGCGUGCGGGCGAUACGGGCAGACUUGAGUACUGCAGGGGAGACUGGAAUUCCUGGUGUAGCGGUGGAAUGCGCAGAUAUCAGGAGGAACACCGGUGGCGAAGGCGGGUCUCUGGGCAGUAACUGACGCUGAGGAGCGAAAGCGUGGGGAGCGAACAGGAUUAGAUACCCUGGUAGUCCACGCCGUAAACGGUGGGUACUAGGUGUGGGUUUCCUUCCUUGGGGUCCGUGCCGUAGCUAACGCAUUAAGUACCCCGCCUGGGGAGUACGG
This 643-nucleotide ribosomal RNA is filed under the name uncultured bacterium. Its description in RNAcentral is "bacterial SSU rRNA". It matches the Rfam family "Bacterial small subunit ribosomal RNA", at positions 232 to 885 of the family's 1533-position model. The record is from RNAcentral.